Cicer arietinum (chickpea) is the source of this 249-nucleotide non-coding RNA. NCBI's taxonomy places the organism in Eukaryota, Viridiplantae, Streptophyta, Magnoliopsida, Fabales, Fabaceae. The record is from RefSeq and is a predicted model, not a curated record.
CUUGUCAUCAGUGUAAAAGAAAACAUGCUCCCCACUGUUCUUAUCCCACUGCAGAACAGGUCUGUGCUUCUCCAAAAGUGCCAGGAAACGUGAUAAAGGAAUUUACAAUUUGCUUUUCCCCCCACAGCCAUGUACACAUCAAAUAACAGAAUGGUCUUAGAGAUGAAGCUGAAGGUGAGAAAAUAGUACUCCUCAAAUUGUAAUGGAAAGUGUUCCUUAUUCCAUACAAGAAUGGAACCACCUCUAACA